UGUGCAAACUCUCCAGGAGCCGUGGG
Molecule: non-coding RNA, 26 nt
Filed under: Mus musculus (house mouse)
Lineage: Eukaryota; Metazoa; Chordata; Mammalia; Rodentia; Muridae
Source: RNAcentral